Cyanidioschyzon merolae strain 10D is the source of this 1735-nucleotide RNA transcript. RefSeq lists it as hypothetical. The transcript has a single exon. The record is from RefSeq and is a predicted model, not a curated record. Lineage: Eukaryota; Rhodophyta; Bangiophyceae; Cyanidiales; Cyanidiaceae.
GUAUUCUAACGCUGAGUGUCUGAGGAUCGGGGUCCAGCUCCACGUUGACCAUGUCGAGGGGUAGCGCCGGGUGACACAGCGGGACGAGCGUGCUCGUUUGCUUUGCUCCUUGAAUCCCGGCGAGUCGCGCGACAGCAAAAGCGUCCCCCUUGGGAAGCGCGCCUUGGAGCAGAGCAGUGAAGACGCCUUGGUCGCCGAUAUUCAGGCUCGCUUCUGCCUGGGCCUUUCUAAAACAGGCUUCCUUAGUACUAAUAUCCACCAUGCGCGCUUCUCCGCGCUCAUUCAGGUGAGAGAGCACCGAAUAACGCCUCAGGCUUUGUCGCAAGGAGCCGAACGUCCCUGCGAACGCCCAGUGCCGGAGCAUACUAGUCGAGGUUUUCGAUCAGUUUCCGCAGUGCAAGUGCCUGCCAGCAAAGUCCUCCGCCCCUACCCAAUCUGGCUUCUCGGUCAGGCCAAGGGCGACACAGAACCCGAUACUCCAGGCAGCUGGCAAGCUUCUCAGCCAGGUUUCUUCCAGCAGUGUAAGUCCGUAGCGCCGGGUAACGGUCCUUUGGUCGCCGCUGCUCGCGUUACGCUAGGGGAGCACGCACCAACUGGCAAGUAUACCAGCGGUACGCACCGCAGAAAGUGUGCGCCGUUGUUUUUGAUCGACCCGCUCUGUGAUGGAUCGGACUGACCAGACGAAGCUCUCUAUGCUACGCGUCAAGCUCCGUCUCUGUAGCUAACUUCGAAUAAAGCGCAUCCAAGAAAAACGAAUCUGGCGGGGAAACUCACAAGUCGCAGAUCGAAAGCAUGUAUUCUGGACGGCGCUCGGGGUGCAGUACCAUUUGCAUAGAGCAUCGCAUGCUCAACGUGCCGAGCCGUACACCUAGGCUCUGCAGCAGGCUUUAUUGCUCGUUCAGCAGCACAAGUGCAUCCACUUGCUUCGUGCGAGGAGGGAGCAUCCCUCACGCAUAGAGCGGCGUUUGAGCGCAUGAUGCGGUGCUAACUUAUAGCGCGUCACCGCUUCACAGGAUACCGUAUAGGAGCAUGACACGGGUGCAUCCCUGCUCAUGAGACUGACUUUACUGACUCGUGUCCGUGCUGGUCGCUGAUUUGCGGCAAGCAUCCCACUGACAAGGGUUCUUCGAGUUUUUCUCCAUCGAAUGUCGAUGGAUAUUGAUAGCGCCUUUCUGUGGUGUGGUGCGAGACGAGGUGCAAACUCGGCCUGUCCCCUUUAAACUGGGGGCGUUUUCGUGGACCUAUGAAUUUGGAACCUCCGGAGACGGGUAUCUAGAUGAAAUAGGCAACUGAAGGAUGUGACGCGACGCGACGCGACGCGACGCCACAAAGAUAUGAGCAUCCGUCCUCAGCCCUCAUGUGCUUUAUGCGGCCGCUGGAGAUCCGCUUUUGCGAUAAGGCAUUUCGGAACCUUUUCAUCGUAUUCGAGUUGAGCCUGUAUUAUGCACGUGUUGUUCGUGCCCGCCUGGAGAUACACACAUGUGUUGGCAGAAACGAGGAGUGCUUGUACCAAAUGCCCUGAACGGAGCGACGCACCGCCUGAUCCUCUACAGCUUUGUUCAGGUACAAGCACUCCUGCGUUUACGCCAACACAUGCACAGCUGCUCUGCAUGCGUGGCAUCAGGGAUUUGCGGUGAGUCAGACGCAGACCCCCGGUGUCAAGAGGCGCUCGCAGGGCAAGCUAAUCCUUCCGGGGCUGAGCUCUGGUACCAUCGCGCGGUCGUAAACGCGGAUG